AGCUUUACAUUGUGAGUAAAUAAAAAUUAUGAAAGCAAAAAAUUAUGGCGGUAUUUUAAGCUUUUCAGAGGAAUUUGCUCUUUAAUGGAUAAAACACCUAAAUCUUACUUAAAUUUGUUAUUUCAAUUUGUAUACCACUAUAAAAACAAUUUAUAACUCUAAUUGUUAAAAUUUACUAUAUUAAAAUAUAUUAAGUCAAGGUGCAGUAAAAAUUUAAGGAUGAAGUGAAUUACAUUACUUUUUAGGGAAAAAAAUUAAAAUAAUAUUUAGGAUUUGAAAGUAAAAUUAAAAUAAAAUGUUAAUUUGAAUUAAGCUCUAAAAUAUGUACAUAUCGCCCGUCACU
RNAcentral lists this ribosomal RNA (343 nucleotides) under Rhipicephalus sp. Morphotype 3. Its description in RNAcentral is "partial 12S ribosomal RNA". Lineage: Eukaryota; Metazoa; Arthropoda; Arachnida; Ixodida; Ixodidae. The record is from RNAcentral.